AGAAGCUUCUAUCGCUUCACUCCAGUAUAGUAUGCGCAAGCUAAACAUUAUCCGGUUGCACAUUUAAAGCUAUAUACAUCUAAAGUAAUCCAGGGGGGUGGCCCCAAAGGAGUUCAACUCUUGCGACAAUAUGUUUUCCGUCAACCAGACCUGCUCAUCCAUGUGCCCCACGCCGAAGGACAUAUACAAGCGAAUGUGCAGGAUUGCUCAACUACGUGAAAUGCAUUUCAUCGUAUCUUCCUUAUAUCCUCAUUCUGUAGUGAUCAUCUGUUUACAUUUAUGGGCCAAAAGGAUGGGAUGUCUAAAUUAAUUUUUUGUUGAAAAAUUGAAAGUCUUUGCAGAUCCCUAUAAGUUACAGUGAAGUAUUUGAAAAUACCGCAUUGGGUGUCAUGGUGAAUGCGUAAAUCAAAGAGUACCAAUGCGGUGAAAAUUUUAAGCUUUAAAAAAACGAAAGGAUGUUACAGGAAUAAUAAUUAAGUGGAAGCUGUGAAAUUUAAAAGUUAAAAGAGUAAAACAAUAUUAAGUUUCAAUAAAAUAAGGUAGGGUGAAAUGUCAAAUACAAGUCCAAUGCGGCGCAAAAUCGGUACGUAGAGCGCGCAGCACAUCUGCUAUCUCUUUUUUACCGACAGCGGGUUCUUUGUAUGCAAAUGAUAAUUUCAGAAAUAUUCAAUUAACUUGCGAAGUCAGGAGUUUAUUUUUGGAAAAAGGCUGUUUUGCUAAAAUGUAAACGUAGUAUUUACCAUAUUGUUUUCUAUAUUAGUGCUUCCGAAUAUUUAUUUACGCAAGUAUUUUCCGGAGUGGAAAUUCCCGCUGAACACGAAUGUCGUAUUUAUUUUCAAAUUAAUUCACGUUUAAUUGUUCUUUUUAGGUUGAUAUACAUAAUGGUGCGUAAUUAUAUACGGAAAACGAAGCUUAUUGACCAAGAAAUUGGUGAUCAUAUGAAGAAAAUUGGUUAAACCUAAGAUUCUAGUUCAGACGAAUUUUAAUGCAAUAAUUGAUAUUAACACAUUAACGCCUGAAACUGAAAAAUGUUGUAUUCAUUUUCAAGCUAUGUUUUUAUCAUCAAACUAAAUAAUAUUUUUUACCGGAGUUUCAGGCGUUAAUGGGUUAAGAAAAUGUUCAAAACAUAUUGUUAAUACUUGGUGUAUCAAUAUUGAAUAGUCUAAAUCCAAUAAAAUAAAAAAAACGAAAAUUUACUGAGAGAGAAGGACUCAACUUGGCUUCCAAAAUAAGGGUGAAAAAUAUAUAGUACGACAAUAAAAUUUUAUCUAUUCUCUUACGAAAACUCAGUAUAAAAGGACUACAUUUUCAUGGAGAGAUCAGGAGUGGGAUUACAAAUAACGACAGCGCUACAAAGAUUUCGCUACGUAGCGAUUCAAAGCUACUUUCACUUUAAAAAAAUUUUUAUCUAUCGGAUGACUCAAAAAAAUGGUACCAUUUUGAUAGAUUUAGAAUGUAUUGAAUUCAUAAGGAUUUUUCCACGAUGAAGAAAUGAAGCAAUUAAAAGAAAUAUCUAAAAGCCUGAAAAGUUUUUUAAGUGUAACACGUCAAAUCUCAAAAGUUAUAAAAAGGCAAUUCGAGGCAACGAUAAUUAUUAAUAUUAUUAUAUUAACACUUUUAUUUCUGAAUUUAAACCUUAAAGUUUUUUAUAAUUAAUAAUUAUAAACUAAAUAAAACAUAAUAUAAAGGAGA
Leptopilina boulardi is the source of this 1692-nucleotide long non-coding RNA. RefSeq lists it as uncharacterized. The transcript has 3 exons. Lineage: Eukaryota; Metazoa; Arthropoda; Insecta; Hymenoptera; Figitidae. The record is from RefSeq and is a predicted model, not a curated record.